Non-coding RNA from Schistosoma margrebowiei, 46 nucleotides. The record is from Rfam. NCBI's taxonomy places the organism in Eukaryota, Metazoa, Platyhelminthes, Trematoda, Strigeidida, Schistosomatidae.
AUUCUACUGACGAGUUCCAAAGUGGGAGGAAACACGUGUCCUGAAU